Molecule: long non-coding RNA, 239 nt
Organism: Neopsephotus bourkii (Bourke's parrot)
Lineage: Eukaryota; Metazoa; Chordata; Aves; Psittaciformes; Psittacidae
Exons: 3
Source: RefSeq, a predicted model, not a curated record
AUUAAACCUGUAGCCAGUGCACUAACAGGUCAAGGAGUGGCAGCACUGCACACCUGGGCCUUGAAUUAUUCCCUUUGGCUGAGCUGAAAGAAGAGUGUGAGAGAGUCGGCCCUUGAUUUUUCUGGGCAAAUGAUUCCUGGGACAAUCUAAUAUCAAAUUAAUAAAUGAGGAAUUUAAGCGUUGACAGAAGGGGUGGGUGCUGAGAACUGGCUGAAGAUAUUUGGCUAUGUGGAUGUUGU